UCCGGUCGUCGCCGGCGGCGGCGCGGCGCAGGGCCUCGAGGGCCGUCCCGUCCGGUUGUUCGGAGCGGCCGAUCAGGAC
Molecule: transfer RNA, 79 nt
Filed under: Streptomyces kurssanovii
Lineage: Bacteria; Bacillati; Actinomycetota; Actinomycetes; Kitasatosporales; Streptomycetaceae
Description: tRNA-Ser
Source: RNAcentral